UACAGCCAUAUCAUGUUGAAACAACGGUUCUUGUACGAUCACCGAAGUUAAGCAACGUUGAGUCUGAUCAGUAGCUAGGUGGAUCAUUGCUUGAGAAUUCCAGGUGCUGUAAG
This is a non-coding RNA of Acanthosepion pharaonis, 113 nucleotides long. The record is from the annotation of a GenBank genome assembly. Lineage: Eukaryota; Metazoa; Mollusca; Cephalopoda; Sepiida; Sepiidae.